GACGUUUAGCAACAGAAGAAGCACCGGCUAACUCCGUGCCAGCAGCCGCGGUAAUACGGAGGGUGCGAGCGUUAAUCGGAAUUACUGGGCGUAAAGCGCAUGCAGGUGGUUUGUUAAGUCAGAUGUGAAAGCCCGGGGCUCAACCUCGGAACUGCAUUUUGAAACUGGCAGACUAGAGUACUGUAGAGGGGGUAGGAAUUUCAGGUGUAGCGGUGAAAUGCGUAGAGAUCUGAAGGAAUACCGGUGGCGAAGGCGGCCCCCUGGACAGAUACUGACACUCAGAUGCGAAAGCGUGGGGAGCAAACAGGAUUAGAUACCCUGGUAG
This 325-nucleotide ribosomal RNA is filed under the name uncultured bacterium. Its description in RNAcentral is "bacterial SSU rRNA". It matches the Rfam family "Bacterial small subunit ribosomal RNA", at positions 471 to 793 of the family's 1533-position model. The record is from RNAcentral.